UACGGAAGGCAGCAGUGGGGAAUAUUGCACAAUGGGCGCAAGCCUGAUGCAGCCAUGCCGCGUGUAUGAAGAAGGCCUUCGGGUUGUAAAGUACUUUUCAGUCGUGAGGAAGGUGUUAAGGUUAAUAACCUUAGCAAUUGACGUUAGCGACAGAAGAAGCACCGGCUAACUCCGUGCCAGCAGCCGCGGUAAUACGGAGGGUGCGAGCGUUAAUCGGAAUUACUGGGCGUAAAGGGCACGCAGGCGGUUAAUUAAGUUGGAUGUGAAAUCCCCGGGCUUAACCUGGGAAUGGCAUUCAAGACUGGUUAGCUAGAGUCUUGUAGAGGGGGUAGAAUUCCAUGUGUAGCGGUGAAAUGCGUAGAGAUGUGGAGGAAUACCGGUGGCGAAGGCGGCCCCUGGACAAAGGCUGACGCUCAUGUGCGAAAGCGUGGGGAGCAAACAGGGAUUAGAUAC
RNAcentral lists this ribosomal RNA (453 nucleotides) under uncultured bacterium. RNAcentral describes it as "bacterial SSU rRNA". It matches the Rfam family "Bacterial small subunit ribosomal RNA", at positions 340 to 785 of the family's 1533-position model. The record is from RNAcentral.